RNAcentral lists this long non-coding RNA (1292 nucleotides) under Salmo salar (Atlantic salmon). Its description in RNAcentral is "lncRNA (ENSSSAG00000108436.1)". The record is from RNAcentral. Lineage: Eukaryota; Metazoa; Chordata; Actinopteri; Salmoniformes; Salmonidae.
UCACUGUAACGUUUCCCCAUUUAACAAAACAUUUAUUUAUGUCCACAGUCAUAUCAACUAGCAAAUAAAACAUCCAAACACUGUAAUGAACCUCCAAACACAGCAGAUCAAAUGUAAAUAUUAGAAGUAGUUAUAUUUUAUUAUUGGUCACAUCGGUGGUAUAAUACAGACAGCUGGAGCCAGGGGGUCAGAGGUCAGGGCUCUGCCCUGCUGGGUCAGGAGAGGAGGGGCUUAGUGGUACUUCCUCCAGCGGUCGUGCUCUGAGAGGAGAAGAAGAGAGGGAGAGAGAGAGAGAGAGGAGAAGGAGAGAGGGAGAAUGGAGAAGUGGGGACAGAGAGCGAGAGGGGACAGAGGUUAACGUCAGAUCGUCCUUCCCAGUGUCUGUACUCACUGAGGUGGUCGUACUCCCACAGUGUCUGUACUCCCACAGGGUUAGGGUUAGUACUCACUGAGGUGGUCGUACUCCCACAGUGCAGUGUCUGUACUCCCACAGUGUCUGUACUCCCACAGGGUUAGGGUUAGUACUCACUGAGGUGGUCGUACUCCCACAGUGCAGUGUCUGUACUCCCACAGUGUCUGUACUCCCACAGGGUUAGGGUUAGUACUCACUGAGGUGGUCGUACUCCCCCAGUGUCUGUACUUACUGAGGUGGUCGUACUCCCCCAGUGUCUGUACUUACUGAGAUGGUCGUACUCCCACAGUGUCUGUACUUACUGAGGUGGUCGUACUCCCCCAGUGUCUGUACUUACUGAGAUGGUCGUACUCCCCCAGUGUCUGUACUUACUGAGAUGGUCGUACUCCCCCAGUGUCUGUACUCCCACAGUGUCUGUACUUACUGAGAUGGUCGUACUCCCACAGUGUCUGUACUCCCACAGUGUCUGUACUCACUGAGGUGGUCGUACUCCCCCAGUGUCUGUACUCCCCCAGUGUCUGUACUCCCCCAGUGUCUGUACUCCCCCAGGGUUAGUACUCACUGAGGUGGUCGUACUCCCCCAGGGUUAGUACUCACUGAGGUGGUCGUACUCCCACCAGGGUUAGGGUUAGUACUCACUGAGGUGGUCGUACUCCCACCAGGGUUAGGGUUAGUACUCACUGAGGUGGUCGUACUCCCCCAGGGUUAGGGUUAGUACUCACUGAGGUGGUCGUACUCCCCCAGGGUUAGGGUUAGUACUCACUGAGGUGGUCGUACUCCCACAGGGUUAGGGUUAGUACUCCCCCAGGGUUAGGGUUAGUACUCACGGAGGUGGUCGUACUCCCCCAGGGUUAGUACUCACUGAGGUGGUCGUACUCCC